CUAAUAUUUAUUUUUAUUUUUUUUUGAUAUGUUGUACUAUACACAGAACUUUAACACUAUUAAAAUCUAAAUGGAACCUGUUCACAAUCAUCAUAACAACAAAUAAAAAGCUUCAGUCUGUGUAUGAAUUAUUUCCCACAUGUGAAAGUAAACAAAAAACACACAACUGCAAAUAAAUAGCAUCAAUUACAAGAAAUUACCCUAAACUCAAGUCAGUGAAGAAGUCAGCUACACCUUAAUUUAUACAUCAGCCACAAGUAUUGCAAUCGGUAGAAGAUAAUUGUGAUGACUUGUGUGAAAAUCCAUUAGGAUGAUGUUAAUGGUGGAAAAAAAAAUACAGCUCCACAGUCACACGCAAUCACUUCCUCAUCAUAUAUGCUAACUGUGCAUCCACCUACUAGCUACACUGGUGACGUUUUAAAUUACCUACUGUGCUGUUGAUGGACUUUUCUACUUUUUGCACAUGAUUUUAUUGUCUAAACACAUGGCACCUUUUUGCAAAAUGUAAACUAUUUUUAGUGUGCACUUUUCUAAAUCAAAUGCUGCAGGAACACUGAGGUUCUAUCAGGGAUAAAAGGGAAAUAAGCAAUAUUUUCUGAAUUGUUAAUUCAGAUAAAUAGUUUUUUAGUUAUCUCUAUCCAAUCAACUUUUAGUUGUUUUAUGCUAUAAAUACGGUACUACUUCCUUAUAUAUAGUACAGUGCAAAGGUUCAUCUCUUGAUGACCACCACUACAAACUUAAACGUAAACAACAAAAAGCAAAAGCAGGAUCACAAAGCAAGAGUCCUUUAGGAGGUAAACAUUACACACUGUAUCUCCAAUCGCAUCAAUCUUUUAGAUCUUGAUUGUUACUGGUGCUUUUUGUAGUCUUUCAUUAUCAUAACAGAAAAACAUAAAAGAAAUCAACACAUUAUCAGCUUUGACAGAACCCCCAGAAACACAGCCGCACAUCUAACAAGAGACUCAAAAUGAGGCUCUGCACCGUAGAUGCGCAGUAUUUGUAACUCCUUGAAUAUUCGUCAGUACUUCUUGUUACUAUACACUGCAAUUGAAUGUAAAGUGCACACAGACUCACAUGUACGUUAUCAGCUACGUUUCAUUCAAGCUGUAGAGCUCAUCGAUUUUGAAAUUAUUUUAAAGAGAUGGUGUCUCUGAAUGCUUCAUGAUCAUGAACAGUGGUACACUUCUAAAAGCUCAUUACUUGAAUUUUUCUGAAGCAGCUGGCGCGACCUUACAUGAUCAUUUCUUUUGGAGUCGAUUCACGUUCAAGUGACUUUUACCAUCAACCAAAAAAUAAAUGUUGUCUGCAGAGUUCUGCCAAUCUCAGAGUAAUAAAAUCAUUAAAAAGAAAGAAGGAAAACAAAGAAUGCUCUUUCAGUACAUUUAAACAACAAAUAAUAAUAAUGGAUUGCAUUUAUAUAGCACUUUUCAGGACCCUC
Long non-coding RNA from Astatotilapia calliptera (eastern happy), 1438 nucleotides. The record is from Ensembl. NCBI's taxonomy places the organism in Eukaryota, Metazoa, Chordata, Actinopteri, Cichliformes, Cichlidae.